AUACGGAGGGUCCGAGCGUUAAUCGGAAUUACUGGGCGUAAAGCGCGCGUAGGUGGAUGUAUAAGUCAGAUGUGAAAGCCCUGGGCUCAACCUAGGAACUGCAUUUGAAACUGUACGUCUAGAGUAUGGUAGGGGUGAGUGGAAUUUCAGGUGUAGCGGUGAAAUGCGUAGAGAUCUGAAGGAACAUCAGUGGCGAAGGCGACUCACUGGGCCAUUACUGACACUGAGGUGCGAAAGCGUGGGUAGCAAACAGGAUUAGAAACCCUAGUAGUCC
Molecule: ribosomal RNA, 274 nt
Filed under: uncultured bacterium
Lineage: Bacteria
Description: partial 16S ribosomal RNA
Rfam family: Bacterial small subunit ribosomal RNA
Source: RNAcentral